Molecule: ribosomal RNA, 498 nt
Filed under: uncultured bacterium
Lineage: Bacteria
Description: partial 16S ribosomal RNA
Rfam family: Bacterial small subunit ribosomal RNA
Source: RNAcentral
GAUGAACGCUGGCGGCGUGCCUAAUACAUGCAAGUCGAGCGAACUUUUGGGAGCUUGCUCCCAAGAGUUAGCGGCGGACGGGUGAGUAACACGUGGGUAACCUGCCUGUAAGACUGGGAUAACGUCGGGAAACCGGAGCUAAGACCGGAUAACAUUGAAGCCCACAUGGCCUUCAAUUAAAAGGUGGCUUUUAGCUACCACUUACAGAUGGACCCGCGGCGCAUUAGCUAGUUGGUGAGGUAACGGCUCACCAAGGCGACGAUGCGUAGCCGACCUGAGAGGGUGGUCGGCCACACUGGGACUGAGACACCGCCAAGACGCCUACGGGAGGCAGCAGUCGGGAAUGUUCCGCAAUGGACGGAAGUCUGACGGAGCAACGCCGCGCGAGAGAAGAAGGCCUUCGGGUCGUAAAGCUCUGUUGUUAGGGAAGAACAAGUAUCGUCCGAAUAGGGCGGUAUCUUGACGGUACCUAACCAGAAAGCCACGGCUAACUACGUG